Molecule: long non-coding RNA, 1217 nt
Organism: Oreochromis niloticus (Nile tilapia)
Lineage: Eukaryota; Metazoa; Chordata; Actinopteri; Cichliformes; Cichlidae
Exons: 4
Source: RefSeq, a predicted model, not a curated record
GUCUGGAAGAUCUUCAGUUAACUUUCAGGCCAACUGUGCUGUCAUUGUUAUAGACAAGCUCUUUGAAGUGAUUUGAAAACUGUUUGACAUCCUUUUCCCCAUUUUUACAUUCAACAGGUUCCACCAGGGGUAAGCAAACAAAUAGCAAACUCCAACAAAAAGCAAAUUCCACAUUUAAGUAACUUGAACAAGACAAGCCAAUGCUCAGGAAACAAUUUCAUUGCAUUUAAUGACUUUCAUAUUGCUUCCAGACCCCACAAGGACACCUAGGGUCCUCUUCUUUUGAUGGUAACAAACCCCUGAAGACACCCAAUUUUUACAGCUUUAACAGGGAUCUGACCGAACUACACAGUCUGGAACCUGGAGAGUAUGUGAUCAUCCCGUCCACCAUGAAACCCAACAUGACUGCUGAUUUCGUUCUUACUGUCUACACCAAGGCUGAUGUUGAGAUCAGGUAAAGACUUACUUUGAUAUGUGAUAAUGCAUAAGCCCCAUGAGAGGCUUUAUUCCCAAAGAAUGACAAAUGCUUAUUUGAAUACAUGCUUUCCUACCACCAUUUUCAAAAGUGUUGCAAGACACAUAAGUUUCACUUUUUUAACACACUUUCUGCUGUAUCCAACUCCCACAGUGGAGGAGACCACAGAUAAGGACGCCAGCCUUAUUGCCUUAUUCAACCUGUAUGCAAAUCAGGUCAAGUGUAUUUUUUUUUAUGAUUGUGAUAUUUUACUCCUUUGGUGUUUGUCCUUUCUGCACUGAAUCUGCACUGAACAGUUUUACUUGCUUCUGUGUUCUAGAAUGAUGAGCUGCUUACUGGACAACUCCAGAAACUCCUGAAUGACAGGUUCCCUCAUGGAACCUUGUAUGGCUUUGGUUUGGAUACCUGCAGGAGUAUGAUUGCUUUGGUGGAUCUUGACCAAAGGAUGACAAUGUCUUUUAUUGAAUUUUUGAUACUUUGGAACAAGAUUCAAGAAUACAAGGUAAAACAGAAAAUGUAGGACAUACUCAAAUAAUUCCUCUAACUUUUAGAGCUGUAUUUCCCUAAGACACUGAUAUUUUUUUUAAGUUCAGUGUCUGACAUGUAGUGUAAAAUUAAAUAAAAUAAUAAUAAUAAAAAAAAAAUUUCAAACUGCUCCUUACUCCUUUGCAGAAACUCUUCCAUCAAUCUGAUCUUAAUCAAAGUGGAUCCUUGACUGACCUUGAGCUCCAGAAAACAGUUG